This 466-nucleotide ribosomal RNA is filed under the name uncultured bacterium. Its description in RNAcentral is "partial 16S ribosomal RNA". It matches the Rfam family "Bacterial small subunit ribosomal RNA", at positions 28 to 507 of the family's 1533-position model. The record is from RNAcentral.
GACGAACGCUGGCGGCGUGCUUAACACAUGCAAGUCGUGCGGUAAGGCCCUUUCGGGGGUCCACGAGCGGCGAACGGGUGAGUAACACGUGAGCAACCUGCCCUUCACUUUGGGAUAACUGCCGGAAACGGUGGCUAAUACCGGAUAUGACUUCCUCACGCAUGUGGGGUGGUGGAAAGCCUUCGGGUGGUGGGGGAUGGGCUCGCGGUCUAUCAGCUUGUUGGUGGGGUGAUGGCCUACCAAGGCUUCGACGGGUAGCCGGCCUGAGAAGGUGACCGGCCACAAUGGGACUGAGACACGGCCCAGACUCCAAUGGGAGGCAGCAGGGGGGAAUAUUGGACAAUGGGCGAAAGCCUGAUCCAGCAACGCCGCGUGAGGGAUGACGGCCUUCGGGUUGUAAACCUCUUUCGCCUGCGACGAAGCGAGAGUGACGGUAGCAGGUAAAGAAGCACCGGCCAACUACGUG